GUGUAGUUCAGUGGUAGAACAGUUGCCUAGCAUGUACAAGGCCCUGGGUUUGACCCCCAGCAC
Molecule: transfer RNA, 63 nt
Filed under: Fukomys damarensis (Damara mole-rat)
Lineage: Eukaryota; Metazoa; Chordata; Mammalia; Rodentia; Bathyergidae
Rfam family: tRNA
About the family: Transfer RNA (tRNA) molecules are approximately 80 nucleotides in length.
Source: Rfam by way of RNAcentral